AUUGAACGCUGGCGGCAUGCUUUACACAUGCAAGUCGAACGGUAACAGGGUGCUUGCACCGCUGACGAGUGGCGAACGGGUGAGUAAUGCGUCGGAACGUGCCGAGUAGUGGGGGAUAACGCAGCGAAAGUUGUGCUAAUACCGCAUACGUACUGAGGUAGAAAGUGGGGGACCUUCGGGCCUCACGCUAUUCGAGCGGCCGACGUCUGAUUAGCUAGUAGGUGAGGUAAAGGCUCACCUAGGCGACGAUCAGUAGCGGGUCUGAGAGGAUGAUCCGCCACACUGGGACUGAGACACGGCCCAGAAUCCUACGGGAGGCAGCAGUGGGAAAUUUUGGACAAUGGGCGAAAGCCUGAUCCAGCCAUGCCGCGUGUCUGAAGAAGGCCUUCGGGUUGUAAGGGACUUUUGUCAGGGAGGAAAUCCCUAGUGCUAAUAACACUGGGGGAUGACAGUACCUGAAGAAUAAGCACCGGCUAACUACGUGCCAGCCGCCGCCGUAA
RNAcentral lists this ribosomal RNA (500 nucleotides) under uncultured bacterium. RNAcentral describes it as "partial 16S ribosomal RNA". It matches the Rfam family "Bacterial small subunit ribosomal RNA", at positions 30 to 523 of the family's 1533-position model. The record is from RNAcentral.